AGAAAGCUAGUCUAACUAAGACAGCUGGUUUCGGCCCAGCAAAUUAUAGGUUACACCUAUAGCUUUCUU
This 69-nucleotide transfer RNA is filed under the name Syrmaticus reevesii (Reeves's pheasant). RNAcentral's name for it is "tRNA-Arg". The record is from RNAcentral. Lineage: Eukaryota; Metazoa; Chordata; Aves; Galliformes; Phasianidae.